GAUGAACGCUGGCGGCGUGCUUAACACAUGCAAGUCGAACGGUGAACACGGAGAUUGCUCUGUGGGAUCAGUGGCGAACGGGUGAGUAACACGUGAGCAACCUGCCCCUGACUCUGGGAUAAGCGCUGGAAACGGCGUCUAAUACUGGAUAUGUGACGUGACCGCAUGGUCUGCGUUUGGAAAGAUUUUUCGGUUGGGGUUGGGCUCGCGGCCUUUCAGCUUGUUGGUGAGGUAAUGGCUCACCAAGGCGUCGACGGGUAGCCGGCCUGAGAGGGUGACCGGCCACACUGGGACUGAGACACGGCCCAGACUCCUACGGGAGGCAGCAGUGGGGAAGAUUGCACAAUGGGCGCAAGCCUGAUGCAGCAACGCCGCGUGAGGGAUGACGGCCUUCGGGUUGUAAACCUCUUUUAGCAGGGAAGAAGCGAAAGUGACGGUACCUGCAGAAAAAGCGCCGGCUAACUACGUG
This 469-nucleotide ribosomal RNA is filed under the name uncultured bacterium. RNAcentral's name for it is "partial 16S ribosomal RNA". It matches the Rfam family "Bacterial small subunit ribosomal RNA", at positions 28 to 507 of the family's 1533-position model. The record is from RNAcentral.